RNAcentral lists this long non-coding RNA (1368 nucleotides) under Homo sapiens (human). Its description in RNAcentral is "HSALNT0120227". Lineage: Eukaryota; Metazoa; Chordata; Mammalia; Primates; Hominidae. The record is from RNAcentral.
CAGGAGCGUGGAUGUUCACUGCCUUCCUUCAACCACUCCAGGCAGCCGCCCCUCAACCAACCCCCAGGCGGCAAGGCCCUCUCCACGCGCGCUCUCCAGCCUGGCGGGGCCCUGGAAGCCGGGACACGCGGAGGCCGGGAGGGUCAUCGGCGUUUAAGGCAGCCUCCCACACCAAGUGCACCGCCCGGAUCCCCUCUGCACGAGGGCUUUCUGCUUAUUGCUCUUUUCCCCAGCAGCCAGAAUCGUCACCGUAGCGCGGGAAGGGGCCUCGCGGGCCGUCUGCAGCAGGUGCGGCCGGGAGCCGCAGGCCCGCGCGUUGCCAUGGGUUACCAGGGCGGUUGCCAUGGGUUACCCAGCCCAGUCGCCGCCGCCAGCGGAGCGGCCCGGGCGGGACGCGGCGGGAGCGCGCGUGUGCGGGACGCAGCGCGGGGGAUGCGCGCGGGCCGCGGAGGCGCCGCAACCAACAGGCGGCCGAGGGUGCAGCCGCGGGAGCGCCACCGCCAGUGGGGUGGGGGGCAAAGCUAUAAAGAAGGCCCAGAGGUAAGAAACUAGCAAAAACACAACCACAAGUUAUGCCCGUGCUGUGCCUCUAGCAGCAAAGACAAGCGGUGUGGGGUUGGAUGAAUCUACACUUCUCGUCGGGGGAGAAAGGGAUUCCUGCGGAGCUGUAUUUACUUUACAUCCAUGUGAACUGCUGUCAUCACUACUGUGUCCAAGCCCAGAGGAUGAACUGGAAAAGAAGAGAGGGGGAAAAUAAUAAAAAGAGGAAAUUGGUUUUCACAACACACUCAAAGCCUGAGUAACAGAGGAGAACUUUAAUUAUCUCCAGUCACAAAGAGAGACAGGAAAUUUGGACUUUUAAUUAGCCAUUUGGAGUGCAGUUGGGUAUUUUUUUAGCUAGAUAAUUUAAACGCGAAUAAUUCAAGUCUGACUAAAUGAAAGUCACAUAAUCAGAAUGCAAAUAAUUGAAUUUCUACUGCAUUCAUUAAUUCAGUGUGGAGGUGUGUGUGAAGACUACUAUGAUGAGCUGUCACAGCUCAAUAAAAUCUCAGUCAAUUAAUUUUUUCAUUAUCUUAGGGAAACGUCUAUUCAUUAAGGCAAACUUGUGAAUUGCUUCUUCCACAGAGUACUUAGUCUGCCCAGAAACACACGCCUCAAUGUCUUCUGAAUUCAGAUGGCUCUGUAAGAAGAGGUGAAGGCUGCUAUCUGAAAGCAAAAGUGCAUUCUGUAGGACUCUAUAUUAAAAAAAAAAGGAAAAAUAAUUGGUGAACAGGAUGGUCAGUGAUAGGGUAGAAGAAAGAAAAACAUUAGAAAAGUACCACUGAAGAUUAAGAGAAGAGUUAUAGAGCAACAAUCCAUUAAUACGAA